This 486-nucleotide ribosomal RNA is filed under the name uncultured fungus. RNAcentral describes it as "eukaryotic LSU rRNA". The stretch from base 10 to 163 matches the Rfam family "5.8S ribosomal RNA". Lineage: Eukaryota; Fungi. The record is from RNAcentral.
CAAAAUCAAAACUAUGAACAACGGAUCUCUAGGCUCUUGCAUCGAUGAAGAACGCAGCGAAACGCGAUAGGUAUUGUGAAUUGCAGAAUUCCGUGAAUCAUCGAAUCUUUGAACGCACAUUGCGCCUUCCGGUAUUCCGGGAGGCAUGCCUGUCUGAGCGUCAGUAUAACCUCUCAUCUUUAACAAGGGUGUUUCUCUUUCGAGUUGCGCCUUUGUGAAAACGAUGGUCUUGAGCUUUGAGAGUCAUGUGCCAUUUCUACGUUAGUAGUUAAGGUAACUUUAGACUGUCUGGCUUGAAAUUCAUUGGUGCCGAAUGUAGGCCUCGUAAGUGUUAUAGGUAUAUCCAACUCGCUGUCGAGUCUUGCAUAUUUCGGAUCCAUUAAACUGAUGUCAAAUGUAUUUACUUGUUACUCUAGGGUACAGUAAAUCUUUGAAUCAAUUGAACUCUUUGACCUCAGAUCAGGUAGGGAUACCCGCUGAACUUAA